AUACGUAGGUGGCAAGCGUUGUCCGGAAUUAUUGGGCGUAAAGCGCAUGUAGGCGGUGCCUUAAGUCUGUCGUGAAACUGCGGGGCCUAACCCCGUAUGGCGAUGGAAACUGGGGUGCUUGAGUGCAGGAGAGGAAAGGGGAACUCCCAGUGUAGCGGUGAAAUGCGUAGAUAUUGGGAAGAACACCGGUGGCGAAGGCGCCUUUCUGGACUGUGUCUGACGCUGAGAUGCGAAAGCCAGGGUAGCGAACGGGAUUAGAUACCCCGGUAGUCCUGGCCGUAAACGAUGGGUACUAGGUGUGGGAGGUAUCGACCCCUUCCGUGCCGGAGUUAACGCAAUAAGUACCCCGCCUGGGGAGUACGGCCGCAAGGCUUAAACUCAAAUGAAUUGACGGGG
Molecule: ribosomal RNA, 396 nt
Filed under: uncultured bacterium
Lineage: Bacteria
Description: partial 16S ribosomal RNA
Rfam family: Bacterial small subunit ribosomal RNA
Source: RNAcentral